CUGCACCGUCUCUAGAAAAUUUCUACCAGACCCCUCUUUUGUCUUUUCAUAUGCCCUGUUCCCCUCAUUUCUCCUUCUACUUCUGCCUUUAUUUGCGAAAAUUUCCUUCAAUUGCUUAUUAGUGCUUCAUUUUCUCAACUGUUCCCCAUGUCCAUCAUUCCUCUCGUCUCUUUCCGAUGCUACCAGACUCCUGGCUUUCCUCGCUCCUUCAAAGACUACCCGUCGGAGUCACAUUUUUAACCCUGCUUGAACUGCUUGUAGAUAGGCUAUUUCAUCUACCGUGAAAAGUGUAAGUACUCUCUCAUUAACUAUCAUUUUGACACCCAAGUUUUCUCCUUUUGAGUUCCUACAGAUUAUACACGUUCCUGACUUCUUCCUUUGUUUGUUGUAAGCCCCAUCAAAGUUUAUUUUGGUUAUACUCUAGUCCGAUGGUUUCCAGCGUUCACUGUUAUUAAUCUUCCCUGUCCCUAAAUGCAUGCUGCAAAGUCUCUGUUCCCUCCCUGCAUCUUGGACACAGCGCCGAGUUACUGGUUUUUCUGUUGUAUGGGUUUCCAAAUGUAGGAAUAUAAUUGUUGUAUAUUCUCCAGUUUGUAAUUUUAAUUUUGUCUGAUAGAUCUAUAUUCCAAUGGUUGUUGUAAUAAUAUCAGCUUUUUUCGUUAUUGUUA
Long non-coding RNA from Gossypium arboreum, 665 nucleotides. RefSeq lists it as uncharacterized. The record is from RefSeq and is a predicted model, not a curated record. Lineage: Eukaryota; Viridiplantae; Streptophyta; Magnoliopsida; Malvales; Malvaceae. The transcript has 3 exons.